This is a long non-coding RNA of Mesocricetus auratus (golden hamster), 1501 nucleotides long. RefSeq lists it as uncharacterized. NCBI's taxonomy places the organism in Eukaryota, Metazoa, Chordata, Mammalia, Rodentia, Cricetidae. The record is from RefSeq and is a predicted model, not a curated record. The transcript has 3 exons.
UGCUCCUCCUCCUCCUCCAUCAGGCCAACCCCUCCCUCGGGCCCACCCCCCCCCCACGGAAGAAUCCUUGCCUAGCUGAGGGACACCCACCAAUCGCAGAUGCCGGAGUCACCGUGGCCCCAAUCAGUGUCCCUGAAACCCCACCGCCCGGCAGCGCCCGCCCCUUGAAGAACUCACUUCUUAAGGGGUCCUGCGCGGCCACUUCCCUAAGCCCCAUCUUCCCCGGGUCCCUGAGCAGAGAGAUCUGCACCAUGUCCCCUGUUCCCCGACCGUUUAACUCCCUACCUUCCUACCCCAGCUCCAUCAGUGCCCACUCCUCCGAGGGAUCACACUGCCGGGUGACCAGCAUGACCAGCAUCGGUGAGCGUUAGGUCCCUCCUGUCUACCCUACCGUGCCAUUCAGUACCACCCUGAGGUGCAGCUCUCUGAGAAGGGCAAAACAGGUGUCUUUUCCAACCAAGGGCUGUUUACAAUCGGCGUUGAGGAGAAAACAACCACAGAGGGCCUACGUCCGUCUCACAGUAUCUCAAGGACAAAGCCAGCAGCUGCCUUCUGGGUCACAUCCAAGCUUGUGCAGAUGUGUCCAAAACUGAUAAGGCUAAGCCUUAGCCAAUUAGAAACACGCUCAUGUGACUGAUGCUUGCUUAACCAAUUGUGUAGCUGACUCUGGAGCUCCCCUUGGCUGCAUGUGCCUCUCGGGGUUGUUGAUGUUUUGUACAGGUUCGACCCCGGCAUGCUAGAAUAUUAAGUGCCCUUUGUUCUUGUAUACUGUUUGAGUCCGGGGUCCUCCGUCAGCGCUUCCUCAGACCCUGCAACCAGGGUUGAGCACUGACUCUAGGCUCUCAGGGCUGGGAGUCGAGUGCUCUGUCGCUAAGUUCUACCCCAGCCCCUUCACAGCUGACGUGUGAGCCAGGAAUGCAUUUUGAGCCUGGAGAAGAGAUGCAUUUUGAGCCUGGAGAAGAGAUGAACAUCAGUUAUCCCAGGCUGGACAAGGAAGCCUGCCUGGGUCUCCAGCAUCCUUGAAGGUCUCAUGCAGUCCAGACUGGCCUUGAACCAGAAGACAACCUUGAGUUUUCUUUUCUUUCUUUCUUUUUUUAAAUCGAGGAAGCCAGAUGUGAUGGCUUCCAUGUCUCUAAUCCCAGCACUCUGGAGGCAGGAGCCUGACGUACAUAUUGAGUUCCAGGUCAGCCGGAGCUACAUAAUGGGCCUGACGUACAUAUUGAGUUCCGGGUCAGCCAAGGCUACAUAAUGGGACCUUGUCUCAAAAGCCACAAAGGGAGGUAGGAGGGCGGGAGAGAUGGCUCAGAGAUUAAGAGAGUCUGCUGCUCUGUCAGAGGAUCUGAGUGAACUCCCAUCAGCCCUGUUGGGUGGUCGCAACCACCUCUAACUCUAGUUCCAAGGCAUCCAAAGCCCUGUUCUGGCCUCCUCAAGCAACCCGUACUCAAAUGGCACAUAUUCACACAGACAAAGCCCGCAUAAGUAAAUAAUACUCUUUAAACAA